Molecule: long non-coding RNA, 268 nt
Organism: Dromaius novaehollandiae (emu)
Lineage: Eukaryota; Metazoa; Chordata; Aves; Casuariiformes; Dromaiidae
Exons: 3
Source: RefSeq, a predicted model, not a curated record
UACAGAGCAGCAGGAUGAAGCAAGCCUUCUGUGCUGUUCUGGAAACGUGGUCGAAAGGGGUGACUGUUUACUUCCAAGACUGGGCAAAGUGCUCCUUCCCUCGAAUAGGGGAAGCCCAGCUUUGUGAGAAGACAUACCCUUUCUUCUGCUACGUGGUCAGAAACUGGCUGGACUGUGAAGAGAAGGAGCUCAAGGAGGACAUCAUCAGGGCUGUGGCAGCUAUGAUGGGCCUCCUCCUUCAUCAGGAAGAGUAUCAAGGGCAUGUGUG